Hemibagrus wyckioides is the source of this 258-nucleotide long non-coding RNA. RefSeq lists it as uncharacterized. The transcript has 5 exons. The record is from RefSeq and is a predicted model, not a curated record. Lineage: Eukaryota; Metazoa; Chordata; Actinopteri; Siluriformes; Bagridae.
CUUGACUUCUGCCAGACAGAUACAAGCUGAGACCAAAAAAAUUGUGACAGUCAUCACCAUCAUCAUGAAGGUUUGGAUUGUGUGUGUGCUGCUGUGUGCUGCCUUUACACUGAGGACUGCCACAGCUGCAGCCACUGAGACUGGAACUGAGCAAGAACAGGAACUUCCAGAGGAAACUACUGAACUGGCUGUAGAGGAGUUGGUUGAUGCAGUUGAGGAUAAAGAGGAAGCUCUCAAAGCAGAUGCUGCUGAAGGUAA